CCCUUAGAUGUUCUGGGCCGCACGCGCGCUACACUGUUCGACGCAGCGAGUCUUAACCUUGACCGAAAGGUUUGGGUAAUCUUCAGCAAAGUCGAAUGUGAUGGGGAUCGAUCAUUGCAAUUAUUGAUCGUGAACGAGGAAUUCCUAGUAAGUGCAAGUCAUCAGCUUGCGCUGAUUACGUCCCUGCCCUUUGUACACACCGCCCGUCGCUACUACCGAUUGAAUGGUUUAGUGAGAUCUCUGGAUUGACGCUGGCUAGGGGGCGACCCUUGGCCAGACUGCUCGAGAAACUGCUCAAACUUGAUCAUUUAGAGGAAGUAAAAGUCGUAACA
This 332-nucleotide ribosomal RNA is filed under the name uncultured eukaryote. RNAcentral's name for it is "partial 18S ribosomal RNA". It matches the Rfam family "Eukaryotic small subunit ribosomal RNA", at positions 1470 to 1796 of the family's 1831-position model. The record is from RNAcentral.